Molecule: ribosomal RNA, 372 nt
Filed under: uncultured organism
Description: bacterial SSU rRNA
Rfam family: Bacterial small subunit ribosomal RNA
Source: RNAcentral
CAGAGGGGGCUAGCGUUGUUCGGAAUUACUGGGCGUAAAGGGCGCGUAGGCGGCCCGCUAAGUCGAACGUGAAAUCCCCGGGCUCAACCCGGGAACUGCGUCCGAUACUGGCGGGCUUGAAUCCGGGAGAGGGAUGUGGAAUUCCAGGUGUAGCGGUGAAAUGCGUAGAUAUCUGGAGGAACACCGGUGGCGAAGGCGGCAUCCUGGACCGGUAUUGACGCUGAGGCGCGAAAGCCAGGGGAGCAAACGGGAUUAGAUACCCCGGUAGUCCUGGCCCUAAACGAUGAAUGCUUGGUGUGGCGGGUAUCGAUCCCUGCCGUGCCGAAGCUAACGCAUUAAGCAUUCUGCCUGGGGAGUACGGUCGCAAGGCUG